AGACGGACCGUACGAACGUUAUUCGGAAUCACUGGGCUUAAAGGGUGCGUAGGCGGCGCUGAAAGUUGGGUGUGAAAUCCCUCGGCUUAACCGAGGAACUGCGCCCAAAACUACAGUGCUUGAGGGAGAUAGAGGUGAGCGGAACUUAGGGUGGAGCGGUGAAAUGCGUUGAUAUCCUAAGGAACGCCAGGGGCGAAAGCGGCUCACUGGGUCUCUUCUGACGCUGAGGCACGAAAGCUAGGGUAGCGAACGG
RNAcentral lists this ribosomal RNA (253 nucleotides) under uncultured prokaryote. RNAcentral describes it as "partial 16S ribosomal RNA". It matches the Rfam family "Bacterial small subunit ribosomal RNA", at positions 523 to 775 of the family's 1533-position model. The record is from RNAcentral.